RNAcentral lists this ribosomal RNA (513 nucleotides) under uncultured bacterium. Its description in RNAcentral is "bacterial SSU rRNA". It matches the Rfam family "Bacterial small subunit ribosomal RNA", at positions 34 to 518 of the family's 1533-position model. The record is from RNAcentral.
CGCUGGCGGCGUGCCUAAUACAUGCAGGUCGAACGGCUUUUCUAUGGAAGCUUGCUUCCACUGAGAAGAUAGUGGCGAACGGGUGAGUAACACGUGGGUAACCUGCCCAUAAGAGGGGGGAUAACAUCCGGAAACGGGUGCUAAUACCGCAUAGUUUUCUUGAUCGCAUGAUUGAGAAAGGAAAGACGGCCUUUGUGCUGUCGCUUAUGGAUGGACCCGCGGCGUAUUAGUUAGUUGGUGAGGUAACGGCUCACCAAGACGAUGAUACGUAGCCGACCUGAGAGGGUGAUCGGCCACAUUGGGACUGAGACACGGCCCAAACUCCUACGGGAGGCAGCAGUAGGGAAUCUUCCGCAAUGGACGAAAGUCUGACGGAGCAACGCCGCGUGAGUGAAGAAAAGGUUUUCGGAUCGUAAAACUCUGUUGUCAGAGAAGAACAAGUUGGAGAGUAACUGCUCCAGCCUUGACGGUAUCUGACCAGAAAGCCACGGCUAACUACGUGCCAGCCGCUGC